RNAcentral lists this transfer RNA (65 nucleotides) under Perinereis vancaurica. RNAcentral describes it as "tRNA-Lys". The record is from RNAcentral. Lineage: Eukaryota; Metazoa; Annelida; Polychaeta; Phyllodocida; Nereididae.
UUCUUAGAAGCUUGCAACAGCAAUGAAUUUUUACUUCAUAAAUAGGGAGCUUCCCCCCUAAGAAA